CCGAAAAAAGGAAAAAAAAAACAAAAAUGCAAAGAAAAAAGAAACUUAUUUAUCAACAACGUUCUAGCCCUGCUUAUUGUCAAUAAAUAUUCUAUGGAAAAGAAAUUUCUCUCUAUAAGUUUUCUCAAAAAUGUAAUCUUUAGAAAGUUCACCAAAUUUAAUCUAGAUGGCUCUGGAUUCCCUGAAGAGUUGACAGAAACACGUGUGAAAUUCAUUCAGGCGAUAAGUAAGUUACUCGAUGUUAAAACUGAGUAGAAAUAAUUGGUUUUAUGUGCCUUCAAAUGUUUUAGAUUGUUGUUGUGAGAAAAAAAUUGAAUAAGAUUCUCAAGUUAAAUUCUUUGACAGCUCUCUUAAGGAUUCAAUUUAUAUAAAUGAAGCAAAAUAAUUGAUCUUCUAACUUGCUAGAAUAUUGCCUUAAAAAUAAGUACAUAAUUUGGGGGAAUCAACGGAAGUUCAACCCCUACCUGUUACCAGUGAGAUUUUUCAAUUGAGACUAGUCAUUCUUGUUCGAGUCUUUCUUAUGAAUGAAUGAAUAUUCGACCUCUAAAGUUGCUGCAUGCCGUUGCACUUCACAAAUGAUUUUAUGAUCCUGAAGUGCGUCAUCGAGUUCCGCUAUUUUAGAUAAAUGACUUAGCUAUGACUUUUCAUCUUCUGGAGAGAAGUGGUUACUUUAGAAUUCGUCUUCUUCAAGUUGAAUCCAGGGAAAUUGAUACGAAACUUGAAGCCUCCAACACAUAUUGCAUCAUAAGCCAGAGAAAUAAAAGUCCCUCACUUACCGAAGCUGAAGUUAUUGCCCAAGGGGUGGUUGAAACUUUGCAUCAGAUACUAUGAUAAAGAUAAUG
Parasteatoda tepidariorum (common house spider) is the source of this 842-nucleotide long non-coding RNA. The record is from RefSeq and is a predicted model, not a curated record. NCBI's taxonomy places the organism in Eukaryota, Metazoa, Arthropoda, Arachnida, Araneae, Theridiidae.